UACGGGGGGGGCAAGCGUUGUUCGGAAUCACUGGGCGUAAAGGGCGUGUAGGCGGGCAGAUAAGUCGGGCGUGAAAUCCCCAGGCUCAACCUGGGAACUGCACUCGAAACUGUUUGUCUUGAGUAUCGGAGAGGAAAGCGGAAUACCUGGUGUAGAGGUGAAAUUCGUAGAUAUCAGGUGGAACACCAGUGGCGAAGGCGGCUUUCUGGACGAUAACUGACGCUGAGACGCGAAAGCGUGGGGAGCAAACAGG
RNAcentral lists this ribosomal RNA (253 nucleotides) under uncultured bacterium. RNAcentral's name for it is "partial 16S ribosomal RNA". It matches the Rfam family "Bacterial small subunit ribosomal RNA", at positions 524 to 776 of the family's 1533-position model. The record is from RNAcentral.